UGGUUCUGGCAUCGAUGAAGAACGCAGCGAAAUGCGAUAAGUAAUGUGAAUUGCAGAAUUCAGUGAAUCAUCGAAUCUUUGAACGCACAUUGCGCCCGCCGGCAUCCCGGCGGGCAUGCCUGUCCGAGCGUCAUUGCAAACCCUCAGGCGCGGCCUGGUGUUGGGGGACUGCGCUGCAGCCCCCGGAAGACAGCGGCGGGUGCGCCCCGGACCGAGCGUAGUAGCACACGCCUCGCUCAGGUGUCGGGGCGCCCUCCGGCCGGAAAAAGAACACUCAGUUGACCUCGGAUCAGGUAGGAAUACCCGCUGA
This 310-nucleotide unclassified non-coding RNA is filed under the name uncultured fungus. RNAcentral's name for it is "partial contains 5.8S ribosomal RNA and internal transcribed spacer 2". The stretch from base 1 to 133 matches the Rfam family "5.8S ribosomal RNA", at positions 22 to 154 of the family's 154-position model. The record is from RNAcentral. Lineage: Eukaryota; Fungi.